GUAGGGAAUAUUGGGCAAUGGUCGGAAGACUGACCCAGCCAUGCCGCGUGCAGGAAGAAGGCCCUCAGGGUUGUAAACGGCUUUUGACGGUGAAGAAUCGACAGGAUGCGUCCUGUUUUGACGGUAGCCGUUGAAUAAGCACCGGCUAACUCCGUGCCAGCAGCCGCGGUAAUACGGAGGGUGCGAGCGUUGUCCGGAUUUAUUGGGUUUAAAGUGUGCGUAGGCUGGAAGGUCAGUCAGCGGUGAAAAGCUGUCGCUUAACGAUAGUCUUGCCGCAGAUACUUCCGUUCUUGGAUGAGGAGGAGGCCACUGGAACGGAUGGUGUAGCGGUGAAAUGCAUAGAUAUCAUCCAGAACACCGAUUGCGAAGGCAGGUGGCUGUACCUUAAUCGACGCUGAUGCACGAAAGCAUGGGGAGCAAACAGGAUUAGAAACCCGUGUAGUCC
Molecule: ribosomal RNA, 445 nt
Filed under: uncultured bacterium
Lineage: Bacteria
Description: partial 16S ribosomal RNA
Rfam family: Bacterial small subunit ribosomal RNA
Source: RNAcentral